GUGGUUGUUUGCUCCUCCAUAUUGGAGGGGAUUUUUUCACGUAAAUCUUCGUGUCUAUUUUAUUCUCUUCCCUAACAGUAUUGUUCCUCCAGCAGAAGGACCUCUCAAGUUCAAAAGAAAGGGUCAAGAUCUCUUUUAUGAACACACCUUGUCUCUGACCGAAGCUCUAUGUGGGUUCCAAUUUGUUCUUACACAUCUGGACAACUAGCAGCUUUCGAUAAAAUCAAUUCCUGGCGAAGUUGUUAAACCUGACCAAUUCAGGGCGAUAAACGACGACGAGAUGUCGAUCUUGAAGGGGAAGCUCUACCUUCAUUUCACGGUGGAGUUCUGGCACCGGAGCAGUGCAAGGCUCUUGAGUCGGUACUUCUACCAAAGCUUUCGUCCAAGCGGAUAUACAUGGAGAUAGAUGAAUGUAAGGAGACAACCAUGCAUUGAUGUGAACAACAUCGAGGAAUAGAUGCGCAAGAAGCAGGCUCAUGCUACUCAGGAGGUGUAUGAGGAGGAUAACAAGAUGUGCAGUGCAUGCAACAAUAAGAAGACUACCAUCACUUGGUUGCUCUUCAAGUGUGCACACUAGUAGAAAAGAGCUCUAAGGUGGCGACACGCAGAAAUUUAUACUGGCGGUUUCAGUUACAGUACACCAGU
Zea mays is the source of this 645-nucleotide long non-coding RNA. RefSeq lists it as uncharacterized. The transcript has 2 exons. The record is from RefSeq and is a predicted model, not a curated record. NCBI's taxonomy places the organism in Eukaryota, Viridiplantae, Streptophyta, Magnoliopsida, Poales, Poaceae.